GUUUGUUGUCCUUUCAACUUCCGUAUCAGCUUUUAACAUCAAUCAGCAAAUUCAUCCUUUUCCAGAUGAAUAAUGAUCUCCCGCUGACUGGCAUGUCUGUCUGAAGAACAAGAAAUGUGAUGAAGCUGACCCUGUGGCACCUCUUUUCUCUAGAGCACAUAUCAUGGAUAUUCAGGGAAU
Molecule: long non-coding RNA, 180 nt
Filed under: Anser brachyrhynchus (Pink-footed goose)
Lineage: Eukaryota; Metazoa; Chordata; Aves; Anseriformes; Anatidae
Description: lncRNA (ENSABRG00000000974.1)
Source: RNAcentral